AAAUUGAAGAGUUUGAUCAUGGCUCAGAUUGAACGCUGGCGGCAGGCCUAACACAUGCAAGUCGAACGGUAACAGAAAGCAGCUUGCUGCUUCGCUGACGAGUGGCGGACGGGUGAGUAAUGUCUGGGAAACUGCCUGAUGGAGGGGGAUAACUACUGGAAACGGUAGCUAAUACCGCAUAACGUCGCAAGACCAAAGAGGGGGACCUUCGGGCCUCUUGCCAUCGGAUGUGCCCAGAUGGGAUUAGCUUGUUGGUGGGGUAACGGCUCACCAAGGCGACGAUCCCUAGCUGGUCUGAGAGGAUGACCA
This 309-nucleotide ribosomal RNA is filed under the name Escherichia coli. RNAcentral's name for it is "bacterial SSU rRNA". It matches the Rfam family "Bacterial small subunit ribosomal RNA", at positions 1 to 306 of the family's 1533-position model. The record is from RNAcentral. Lineage: Bacteria; Pseudomonadati; Pseudomonadota; Gammaproteobacteria; Enterobacterales; Enterobacteriaceae.